RNAcentral lists this ribosomal RNA (587 nucleotides) under uncultured bacterium. Its description in RNAcentral is "bacterial SSU rRNA". It matches the Rfam family "Bacterial small subunit ribosomal RNA", at positions 268 to 865 of the family's 1533-position model. The record is from RNAcentral.
CCAAGGCGACGAUCCGUAGCUGGUCUGAGAGGACGAUCAGCCACACUGGGACUGAGACACGGCCCAGACUCCUACGGGAGGCAGCAGUGGGGAAUAUUGGACAAUGGGCGAAAGCCUGAUCCAGCAACGCCGCGUGAGGGAUGACGGCCUUCGGGUUGUAAACCUCUUUCAGCAGGGACGAAGCGCAAGUGACGGUACCUGCAGAAGAAGCACCGGCCAACUACGUGCCAGCAGCCGCGGUAAUACGUAGGGUGCAAGCGUUGUCCGGAAUUAUUGGGCGUAAAGGGCUCGUAGGCGGUUUGUCGCGUCGGGAGUGAAAACUCAGGGCUUAACCCUGAGCCUGCUUCCGAUACGGGCAGACUAGAGGUAUGCAGGGGAGAAUGGAAUUCCUGGUGUAGCGGUGAAAUGCGCAGAUAUCAGGAGGAACACCGGUGGCGAAGGCGGUUCUCUGGGCAUUACCUGACGCUGAGGAGCGAAAGUGUGGGGAGCGAACAGGAUUAGAUACCCUGGUAGUCCACACCGUAAACGUUGGGCGCUAGGUGUGGGACUCAUUCCACGAGUUCCGUGCCGCAGCUAACGCAUUAAGC